UUGGGAGGUGAUUUUAUGACCCACAAGGUUUAGGUCUGAUUUGAAUAGAAUUUUUUUACAGACUGUGUUGUGAGCAGGUUCAAUGAGCGAGGACAGAAGAAUGAUGAAAAAUAAACCAUUGAGAGACUCUAUUUUCUACAGUGUGUGUACUGCAUGCCACCGUCAUACCGUCUGGUCCGGCCUAUACAUAAUUUGUAGAGUUGAUCAUUUUGGCGCGUCUAUUGGCAGACAGAAACCUUCCUGGAGGAAAUCAUGGUCUCCACAUCAGUCGUUAUGUUACUGGCAGCUUCUGCCCUCUUGGUUGGGGUGUUCAGCAAAGAUGUAGCGCCCCCAUCCCCUAAGUACUGCGGGGAAGAUUUCCUCAAAAUUAUCAUCAAAGUAUGUUCUGGACGGACGCACGGCGCGACAAAGACCUUCACACCACAGGAUUUGGUAUCGGAAGAUGGCAUUAUGGAGGCAUGUUGCAAGAAAGGCUGCACUGAGAGGGACAUCCGAGCUUCCGGUAUUUGCUCCAUGGAUUCUUUGAUGAACCAGAGAGACGAACUCUAAAACCACUUUGCCACCCCCACCCCCCCCCCCGCCCACAGCAACCCUAGACUUGAUGACACGUCGUUAGCGCUGCCUGUUACAAACACACACUCUCAGUGCGAUUAUCGUUCAUGCAACGGUCGUAGGUAUAGCGCGUGGCAGUAGCCGACAUACUGGGAUCGAGGAUGUGUGUACCGUUCCCGUAACUAAAAGCUCAACAAUUACCGGCUUGAUUUCAAGACUACAGAAACCCCGGCUUGCUAUGUAUGAGAAAGCCACGAGUUCCUAUAACUCAAUAUUGGCAUUGGUUUUUUGUGGACAACGAACUCGUAUUACACUCUCCUGACGAUUUCUAGAGCAAGCUUUAGGGUGCGUUCAGACACGGUACUAAAGUUGGUUGAACUCAUGGUUCAACUCGACUGAGUUCAACUCAGUGUGUCUGAACGGAUCUAAAGUUAGUCCGAAUUGAGUUCAACCCCCAAAAGAUAAAGCGUCCAGGGAGGGGGUUUAUCUUUAGACCGCUCCGGUUUUAUCUUUUAACACUGUGUGUGGACAGAAUAAAAAA
Asterias rubens (European starfish) is the source of this 1093-nucleotide long non-coding RNA. RefSeq lists it as uncharacterized. The transcript is spliced from 3 exons. The record is from RefSeq and is a predicted model, not a curated record. NCBI's taxonomy places the organism in Eukaryota, Metazoa, Echinodermata, Asteroidea, Forcipulatida, Asteriidae.